GGGGCUGACCGGAAUUGACAGCUUGAGCAGGUCGCGAGUAAGCGUGCCAGGAGUUGAAUGGAUCUUCUGAGACCAAUUCGUUCGAACAAUAACUGGCGAGUAUAGCUACGCCAUGGCUGCUUAGUCUAGGUACUAGGUAAUGUCAUCGUCCCGCACCCGUUUUCUUUUACACGGGUGAGUUCGGGGCGUCGUAAGUAGAAGAUAGCCAGAAAGGAGGUGUGACUUUCUGGCGAAAACCAACUGCAUCUAAGCAGACUCUACGGGCCUGAUGCGCGCCCGGAGUCUGACGAAAAUCUAAGCGUAGAUACGCACGUAGAAAGCUCGACGGUUUCCUUGUCUGGACCAGGGUUCGACUCCCUGCAGCUCCACUG
Molecule: transfer-messenger RNA, 371 nt
Filed under: Hymenobacter aquaticus
Lineage: Bacteria; Pseudomonadati; Bacteroidota; Cytophagia; Cytophagales; Hymenobacteraceae
Description: Standard tmRNA
Rfam family: transfer-messenger RNA
About the family: Bacterial tmRNA, also known as 10Sa RNA or SsrA, is named for its dual tRNA and mRNA-like properties. Its role is to liberate the mRNA from a stalled ribosome. To accomplish this part of the tmRNA is used as a reading frame that ends in a translation stop signal.
Source: Rfam by way of RNAcentral